RNAcentral lists this transfer RNA (72 nucleotides) under Rhipicephalus sanguineus (brown dog tick). RNAcentral's name for it is "transfer RNA methionine (anticodon CAU)". It matches the Rfam family "tRNA". Rfam says of the family: Transfer RNA (tRNA) molecules are approximately 80 nucleotides in length. The record is from Rfam by way of RNAcentral. Lineage: Eukaryota; Metazoa; Arthropoda; Arachnida; Ixodida; Ixodidae.
GCCGCUGUAGCUCAGUGGUAGAGCAUCGGACGCAUUAUUCGAAGGUCGCAGGUUCAGUCCCUGCCAGCGGCA